UACAGAGGUGGCAAGCGUUGUUCGGAUUCAUUGGGCGUAAAGGGUCCGUAGGCGGCUUGGUAAGUUGGGUGUGAAAGCCCACAGCUUAACUGUGGAACUGCACUCAAAACUGCCAGGCUAGAGUAUGGAAGGGGUGAGGGGAAUUCCCGGUGUAAGGGUGAAAUCUGCAGAGAUCGGGAGGAACACCAGUCGCGAAGGCGCCUCACUGGUCCAUUACUGACGCUCAGGGACGAAAGCUAGGGGAGCAAAC
This 250-nucleotide ribosomal RNA is filed under the name uncultured bacterium. RNAcentral describes it as "partial 16S ribosomal RNA". It matches the Rfam family "Bacterial small subunit ribosomal RNA", at positions 524 to 773 of the family's 1533-position model. The record is from RNAcentral.